GCUCAGGAUGAACGCUGGCGGCGUGCCUAAUACAUGCAAGUCGAACGCACAGCGAAAGGUGCUUGCACCUUUCAAGUGAGUGGCGAACGGGUGAGUAACACGUGGACAACCUGCCUCAAGGCUGGGGAUAACAUUUGGAAACAGAUGCUAAUACCGAAUAAAACUUAGUGUCGCAUGACACAAAGUUAAAAGGCGCUUUGGCGUCACCUAGAGAUGGAUCCGCGGUGCAUUAGUUAGUUGGUGGGGUAAAGGCCUACCAAGACAAUGAUGCAUAGCCGAGUUGAGAGACUGAUCGGCCACAUUGGGACUGAGACACGGCCCAAACUCCUACGGGAGGCUGCAGUAGGGAAUCUUCCACAAUGGGCGAAAGCCUGAUGGAGCAACGCCGCGUGUGUGAUGAAGGCUUUCGGGUCGUAAAGCACUGUUGUAUGGGAAGAACAGCUAGAAUAGGGAAUGAUUUUAGUUUGACGGUACCAUACCAGAAAGGGACGGCUAAAUACGUGCCAGCAGCCGCGGUAAUACGUAUGUCCCGAGCGUUAUCCGGAUUUAUUGGGCGUAAAGCGAGCGCAGACGGUUGAUUAAGUCUGAUGUGAAAGCCCGGAGCUCAACUCCGGAAUGGCAUUGGAAACUGGUUAACUUGAGUGCAGUAGAGGUAAGUGGAACUCCAUGUGUAGCGGUGGAAUGCGUAGAUAUAUGGAAGAACACCAGUGGCGAAGGCGGCUUACUGGACUGUAACUGACGUUGAGGCUCGAAAGUGUGGGUAGCAAACAGGAUUAGAUACCCUGGUAGUCCACACCGUAAACGAUGAACACUAGGUGUUAGGAGGUUUCCGCCUCUUAGUGCCGAAGCUAACGCAUUAAGUGUUCCGCCUGGGGAGUACGACCGCAAGGUUGAAACUCAAAGGAAUUGACGGGGACCCGCACAAGCGGUGGAGCAUGUGGUUUAAUUCGAAGCAACGCGAAGAACCUUACCAGGUCUUGACAUCCUUUGAAGCUUUUAGAGAUAGAAGUGUUCUCUUCGGAGACAAAGUGACAGGUGGUGCAUGGUCGUCGUCAGCUCGUGUCGUGAGAUGUUGGGUUAAGUCCCGCAACGAGCGCAACCCUUAUUGUUAGUUGCCAGCAUUCAGAUGGGCACUCUAGCGAGACUGCCGGUGACAAACCGGAGGAAGGCGGGGACGACGUCAGAUCAUCAUGCCCCUUAUGACCUGGGCUACACACGUGCUACAAUGGCGUAUACAACGAGUUGCCAACCCGCGAGGGUGAGCUAAUCUCUUAAAGUACGUCUCAGUUCGGAUUGUAGUCUGCAACUCGACUACAUGAAGUCGGAAUCGCUAGUAAUCGCGGAUCAGCACGCCGCGGUGAAUACGUUCCCGGGUCUUGUACACACCGCCCGUCACACCAUGGGAGUUUGUAAUGCCCAAAGCCGGUGGCCUAACCUUUUAGGAAGGAGCCGUCUAAGGCAGGACAGAUGACUGGGGUGAAGUCGUAACAAGGUAGCCGUAGGAGAACCUGCGG
RNAcentral lists this ribosomal RNA (1514 nucleotides) under Leuconostoc pseudomesenteroides. RNAcentral's name for it is "bacterial SSU rRNA". It matches the Rfam family "Bacterial small subunit ribosomal RNA". The record is from RNAcentral. Lineage: Bacteria; Bacillati; Bacillota; Bacilli; Lactobacillales; Lactobacillaceae.